UCCUACGGGACGCAGCAGUGAGGAAUAUUGGUCAAUGGUCGGGAGACUGAACCAGCCAAGCCGCGUGAGGGAUGAAGGUACAGAGUAUCGUAAACCUCUUUUGUCAGGGAACAAAGGCGGGGACGCGUCCCCGGAUGAGUGUACCUGGAGAAAAAGCAUCGGCUAACUCCGUGCCAGCAGCCGCGGUAAUACGGAGGAUGCGAGCGUUAUCCGGAUUUAUUGGGUUUAAAGGGUGCGCAGGCGGUCUGUUAAGUCAGCGGUCAAAGCCCGGGGCUCAACCCCGGCCCGCCGUUGAAACUGGCAGG
Molecule: ribosomal RNA, 305 nt
Filed under: uncultured bacterium
Lineage: Bacteria
Description: bacterial SSU rRNA
Rfam family: Bacterial small subunit ribosomal RNA
Source: RNAcentral